CAAAAACAUCGCCUCUUGAACUUUAUAAGAGGUAACGCCUGCCCAGUGAUUUAACAUUUAACGGCCGCGGUAUUCUGACCGUGCAAAGGUAGCGUAAUCAUUUGUCUUUUAAAUAAAGACUAGUAUGAAUGGCAUCACGAGGACUUAACUGUCUCCCUAAUUUAAUCAGUGAAACUGAUCUUCCUGUGAAAAAGCAGGAAUAACUUAAUAAGACGAGAAGACCCUAUGGAGCUUAAAAUCUAUAUCUACCUAUAUUUUCUGGUAAUAAGUACCACUAAUUUAUAGACCUAGAUAAAAUUUUUGGUUGGGGCGACAAUGGAGAACAACUUAUCCUCCAUGAAGAAAAACUUUGAGUUACCACUCUUAGUAGUAGCAAGCCUAACUUAAAUUGAUCCAAAUUUUUUGAUCAACGGAACAAGUUACCCUAGGGAUAACAGCGCAAUCCAUUUCAAGAGUUCAUAUCGACAAAUGGGUUUACGACCUCGAUGUUGGAUUAGGACAUCCAAGUGGUGCAGCCGCUACUAAGGGUUCGUUUGUUCAACGAUUAAAGUCCUACGUGA
RNAcentral lists this ribosomal RNA (560 nucleotides) under Leptobrachium smithi (Smith's litter frog). RNAcentral describes it as "partial 16S ribosomal RNA". It matches the Rfam family "Bacterial large subunit ribosomal RNA", at positions 1808 to 2603 of the family's 2925-position model. The record is from RNAcentral. Lineage: Eukaryota; Metazoa; Chordata; Amphibia; Anura; Megophryidae.